This is a non-coding RNA of Zonotrichia albicollis (white-throated sparrow), 1125 nucleotides long. The record is from RefSeq and is a predicted model, not a curated record. Lineage: Eukaryota; Metazoa; Chordata; Aves; Passeriformes; Passerellidae.
GCCUUGGAUGAUGGUGUACAACUACAUAGUGUUGCUGAGUUGUAUCCAGAGCUAGGACAAUCUGGAAGUACAUUCCUGGUUAUCUUUUAACUGCACCUUUCCAGAGAAUGCACUUUAUCUUUUAAAAAAUUGUAUCUUUGAACAAUGCAACUUUUGAUAAUGUAAUGUGAAUGCUACAGGAAACAAAAAGGGAAUGCUUUAAAAGAAUCAUUGACCUUUAAAUGCCUGAUUCCCUUUACCAAUAAAAAGAGCUGUAAUGUGUAGUGAACAGCACCUGAUUGAUGGGAAUGUGAUGAUAAUCCAGCUCCUCCACUUGACAAGCCACAGAGAACAUCCAGAUAAAACAGCCUGUGCUUCUGACACCCAGAAAUGGCUGAAAUGACUGCCAGAAGUUAUUGAGCUGGAGAGAAUUUUAAAUGUGAGCUGGAGAAUGCAGUAAUGAAACUUCCCUUAAUAAGUUUGAUAAACAGACAUAUUCAAAAAUUAUUGAAGCCAGCUGAAAGUAACUGUUUAGGAGUUUUGAGUACAGAAUAUAUUUCUUCAGUUCUUAGAGAAUAGGUGACAGACUUAUUUCAAGGGUAAAGAAAAUACUGCAGAAAUACUGUGUGGAAACAGUGAGAAUCACUGGGCUUGCUGCAUCUGGAUGAGUAUUUGGCUCAGAGGAUUCUGUUUUUUGUGAAAUUGCUGUUAUCUCCCAACCCCUGUCCUCAGACACUGAGCUGUUAUGUCAGUGAUACUAAAUAAAAAUGAUCCAAAGUUUACAAAUAGGAAAAGAAUCUUCAAUCUGAAAAAAAAAAAACAACUAGCAAUUUUAAAACCCCAAACCCAACAAAAUAACAUACUAAACUAUCCAGUUUUACAGUUAAAGUCAUCAGGAAAAAAAAAUUAAUUUUGUUUCUGGAAAAAACAUUCCUCCAGAUCCUCUGUAUGACUUUGUGUGCAGGAACACAGUGUGUACCAGAAGAGGUGACCCAUUCUUUUGGACCACUUUGAUGGGAGCAGUGAAUUUUGGCUCCCAAAUUCUCUCGGGUGUGGAAACUCUGAGGCACAGUUCAUGGACCUGGUCUGUCUGCUGGAAAUACUGUCAGGAAGGAUAAAAAUGAUAAUAAAUUUGUUUUUACUGCU